CAUCCAAUCCACGUUGAGAGUCAGGGAGGAUGUUGCAACUCGAGAUGCUCUUAGAAGAGGUGAGAACGAGAUGGUCCCCAAUCUAGGGCUUUAGAUAAAUUCGCUCACUAACACCCCCAGCGACCCUCAGGCACAGAGAGGCCAAGCCACUCGCCCAAGGUUGCCUAGCUCGUGAGCGGCCGAGCUGGAGUUUGAACCCUAGAAGUCUGGCUCCAGUCUGUCUUUAACUGCGGCGCCGCGCUGCCUCUCUGCACCCAGCUCAGAGCGUCCAUCAGCAGACCCUGCUUGGGAGUGGAGUCGGGGAGGACGGGGGAGGGAGAGGAGGGGUGACGUGUUGGCGUCCCCAAACCCCUCCCCGUCUAGCCCUCCCCCGGACCAGCGGUUGACUCAUCGAUGGCAAAGCCGGCCAACCCGGCUGGCACCGCAGUUCCACCCCGGCUCUGUGGUUACCCGUGGUGGGAUGGCCGCACGGUCUGAAACAACACAUCACGGCCGUGCCUCUGCCCGCCCCAGCUGCUGCUCGUCAGCCCUGCGCGGGGGACCCUCUCGGGCAGUGUCUGCGGCAAGUUCAAGUGCCUCCUUGAGGAUGCAUCUUAGAGAAGUGACAUUCUUUCCCUGUCCUCCGUGGAUUCCUUCCCCAGCUCUACCGUCCUGUGGACGUCUUCACCCCAGACCCCAGCUGGCUCAGAGAGAGAGGAGGGGAGCGAGGGGGAGACAGGCGUAGGGAUGAAGGCGAGAGAUGCGCGGAGACAGAAGAACCGGGACGCGCAGCAGAGUCUCCACGGCCCGGGGCGCCGUCCUCCUUUGUCGCUGGAUGUGGCCGGGUGACCACAUUUUGGUCAAGGAGAUGCAAGCACAGCGAUGUGGAACAGCCUCAAGGAAAUCUCUUCAAAACACAGCCGGUGGGCACCCACUUGCCUCUACUUCCCCUUGGCUUCCUUCCUGCUGGGUGGACGGCAAACGUGAUGGCUGAUGCUCAAGCAGCCAUAUUGGACCCUGAGGAAAAAGUUCCGUGCAGAGAGUGGACUGCCUCCCUCCGAACUUCUGCCCAUGGGGUGACCCGCCCCGCCAAGCAGAGAAGCUGCGUGCAGACGGAGAGCAGGGCAGACAGCGGGUUCCCUUCACUGCCCCCAGGCAGGGGGAGCUGCCACGCCCCCUACAGAGGGAGGAGAGGUGACCAUCCCGGGGGUCUGUCCGCGGACUUCCGAGAGACCCGAGUGAAGGGCGAGGACUCUGAGCUUGGGUGCACGUCCCGGCUCUGCGGCUCCUGGCCUGUGACCUUGGGCAGCCCACCUCUCCAGGAGCCUCGGUUUGCUUGUGUCGGAUGAUUUGGUGGCUCGUAAGCAAAGGAGAGCGAGCCGUGCACUUAGGCAGAGCAGCACUUCUCAGGCUGCCCGGGACGUGCCCAGUGCCCGCUGUGACGCGGGGGUCCGCAGGGGCCAGAGGUCCUGCUGUCUGACACGCUCCCUGGGGACACCCAUGUUGCAGGUGCGUGGACUGCAUCUUGAGUCCCGAGCCCUCAGCCUAGUUCCGGGGUUGGCCACCUGCCGCCCGUGGGCCACCUCCCGCCCCUGCCCGCUUUUGUGGGUGAAGGUUGGUUGGAACAUGGACACGUUUAUUUACACGUCGUCUACGCUGCGUUCCUGCCGCAGCGCCAAAGCUGACCAGCUGCCACAGAGACCUGGCGGCCUGCAAAGCGGCACUCCUUUCCUUCCCGGCCCUCCGGAGCCAGCGUUUGCCGACCCAGAUGGGAAGCAGAAAGAACCGAAAGAGGAGAAGGGUGGGAGGCCCCCAGCCCAGAGGAGGGGCCGCGGCCACAGGGCGGCUGGUUCUGGCGGCGGAGCUGGCCUUAGUGGGCCUCGCCACCUCCCCCGGGAAGACCUCCACCACGAUGGCAGGGAAACGAGGCCGGGCCAGGCAGAGGGCCCGGGUAAGAGGGGUCGCCGGAGGAGAAAGUCACCUGGAGAAUCCUUCCCCUGCAGCCCCCAGCUGUCGGGCCCACCCCGCGGCCCCCACAUCCCGGUGUCUCCGCCCUCUGGGGACGAGGCCCCCCGGCCGCCCUCGCAGGCCCGGCUCCCGGGAGCUCAUCAGAGGAGGACGGCGGGGUUGCAUCCAAUUUCGCUGCCUCCUCAUCGAAAUGAGAAAUCUGAGGCCAGGGCGGCCUCACAGAGCUGAUAACGCCCUCAGGUGAAGCUCUUCUCUUAUCGCGGCCUGGUCACCUCCAUCUGCACAGGCUUGUUUGCCUUAAAAAAAAAAAAACUGCCUGGGACAUGGGUUGGCUGUGAUAGGAAAAAAAAAAAAAAAAAAGGGAAAGAGGCAAAGGAACACUUUAUUUUUCCAGACUUGGGGGAGGCGGGGUCCGGCCCCCUCCCACUGCGGG
Molecule: long non-coding RNA, 2380 nt
Filed under: Equus caballus (horse)
Lineage: Eukaryota; Metazoa; Chordata; Mammalia; Perissodactyla; Equidae
Description: lncRNA (ENSECAG00000044261.1)
Source: RNAcentral